CAAUAGCGUAUAUUUAAGUUGCUGCAGUUAAAAAGCUCGUAGUUGGAUUUCGGGUGGGAAUGGCCGGUCCGCCGUUUCGGUGUGCACUUGCUACGCCCACCUUGCUGCCGGGGACGUGCUCUUGAGUUCACGCUCGGGACACGGAGUCGGCGAGGUUACUUUGAGUAAAUUAGAGUGUUCAAAGCAGGCCUACGCUCUGAAUACAUUAGCAUGGAAUAACACGAUAGGACUCUGGCCUAUCUUGUUGGUCUGUAGGACCGGAGUAAUGAUUAAGAGGGACAGUCGGGGGCAUUCGUAUUUCAUUGUCAGAGGUGAAAUUCUUAGAUUGACGAAAGACAAACUGCUGCGAAAGCGUCUGCCAAGGAUGUUUUCAUUGA
Molecule: ribosomal RNA, 377 nt
Filed under: uncultured eukaryote
Lineage: Eukaryota
Description: partial 18S ribosomal RNA
Rfam family: Eukaryotic small subunit ribosomal RNA
Source: RNAcentral